This 517-nucleotide ribosomal RNA is filed under the name Staphylococcus aureus. RNAcentral's name for it is "bacterial SSU rRNA". It matches the Rfam family "Bacterial small subunit ribosomal RNA", at positions 1016 to 1533 of the family's 1533-position model. Lineage: Bacteria; Bacillati; Bacillota; Bacilli; Caryophanales; Staphylococcaceae. The record is from RNAcentral.
CCUUCGGGGGACAAAGUGACAGGUGGUGCAUGGUUGUCGUCAGCUCGUGUCGUGAGAUGUUGGGUUAAGUCCCGCAACGAGCGCAACCCUUAAGCUUAGUUGCCAUCAUUAAGUUGGGCACUCUAAGUUGACUGCCGGUGACAAACCGGAGGAAGGUGGGGAUGACGUCAAAUCAUCAUGCCCCUUAUGAUUUGGGCUACACACGUGCUACAAUGGACAAUACAAAGGGCAGCGAAACCGUGAGGUCAAGCAAAUCCCAUAAAGUUGUUCUCAGUUCGGAUUGUAGUCUGCAACUCGACUACAUGAAGCUGGAAUCGCUAGUAAUCGUAGAUCAGCAUGCUACGGUGAAUACGUUCCCGGGUCUUGUACACACCGCCCGUCACACCACGAGAGUUUGUAACACCCGAAGCCGGUGGAGUAACCUUUUAGGAGCUAGCCGUCGAAGGUGGGACAAAUGAUUGGGGUGAAGUCGUAACAAGGUAGCCGUAUCGGAAGGUGCGGCUGGAUCACCUCCUUU